GUCCUCUCAGGAUAGCACCUGGAGAGUUUCUAGUACUCUACCAGUCUCGGUUAAGGGAGGGAGUGCCAAGCAGAGGCAUACCCAUUCCAUUCCUAGCUUGGGCUGUGGCUAGCGAGUGGAAGGCAAUCUGCUACGAGU
Small nucleolar RNA from Ornithorhynchus anatinus (platypus), 138 nucleotides. The record is from RefSeq and is a predicted model, not a curated record. NCBI's taxonomy places the organism in Eukaryota, Metazoa, Chordata, Mammalia, Monotremata, Ornithorhynchidae.